UACGUAGGUGGCAAGCGUUGUCCGGAUUUACUGGGCGUAAAGCGCGCGCAGGCGGUGGCGUGAGCCCGGCGUGAAAGCCCCCAGCUCAACUGGGGGAGGCCGUCGGAGACCGCGACACUUGAGGCCGGUAGGGGAGAGCGGAAUUCCCGGUGUAGUGGUGGAAUGCGUAGAUAUCGGGAGGAACACCAGUGGCGAAAGCGGCGCUCUGGGCCUAAACUGACGCUGAGGGGCGAAAGCGUGGGGAGCGAACGGG
Molecule: ribosomal RNA, 253 nt
Filed under: uncultured bacterium
Lineage: Bacteria
Description: partial 16S ribosomal RNA
Rfam family: Bacterial small subunit ribosomal RNA
Source: RNAcentral